CUCUAUGGCCAUACCACCCUGAGCAUGCUCAGUCUCAUCUGAUCUUGGAAACUAAGCAAGGUCAGGCCUGGUUAGUACUUGAAUGGGAGAAACGACUUUGUUCAGU
RNAcentral lists this ribosomal RNA (106 nucleotides) under Sus scrofa (pig). The record is from RNAcentral. Lineage: Eukaryota; Metazoa; Chordata; Mammalia; Artiodactyla; Suidae.